UAAGCCUGUGAAGGUGUGUCGUGAGGCAUGCUGGAGGUAUCAGAAGUGCGAAUGCUGACAUAAGUAACGAUAAAGCGGGUGAAAAGCCCGCUCGCCGGAAGACCAAGGGUUCCUGUCCAACGUUAAUCGGGGCAGGGUGAGUCGACCCCUAAGGCGAGGCCGAAAGGCGUAGUCGAUGGGAAACGGGUUAAUAUUCCCGUACUUGGUGUUACUGCGAAGGGGGGACGGAGAAGGCUAUGUUGGCCGGGCGACGGUUGUCCCGGUUUAAGCGUGUAGGUGUGUGUUCCAGGUAAAUCCGGUUCACUUUAACACUGAGGCGUGACGACGAGGCACUACGGUGCUGAAGCAACAAAUGCCCUGCUUCCAGGAAAA
Molecule: ribosomal RNA, 372 nt
Filed under: Salmonella enterica
Lineage: Bacteria; Pseudomonadati; Pseudomonadota; Gammaproteobacteria; Enterobacterales; Enterobacteriaceae
Also listed under: 2 other names
Description: partial 23S ribosomal RNA
Rfam family: Bacterial large subunit ribosomal RNA
Source: RNAcentral